Mercenaria mercenaria is the source of this 38350-nucleotide long non-coding RNA. RefSeq lists it as uncharacterized. Lineage: Eukaryota; Metazoa; Mollusca; Bivalvia; Venerida; Veneridae. The transcript is spliced from 3 exons. The record is from RefSeq and is a predicted model, not a curated record.
UGUAUAAAUAGUAACUGGUUUAGGACUUUCCAAUUAUAUAUUUAUAGCAUUUCUCUUGAGUACUGGAAAUCCAAAUUUCAUUUAUAACAUUAUAACUGUAUCAGUGUACAUAAAGAGCAACGUAAUUUCGAGUGACUAGCAUGAAUAUACAUUACAUGUAUUCAUAAUGGAUAUAAAUAGGAACUAUCACAUUUAUGAUAAAUUGUUGUCAUGAUUUAUAAUAGUAAUAUGGCAUAUGGAGUGAUAUCACCUCGGGUCGUAGACAAUAACAAAUGUAUAAGCGAGAAAGAAAAAACAAAAACAAAAACUGUAGACGUGGACUACGGAUCAUAAAUAAUAACAAGUGAAUUUACAAGAACUGUUUGAAUGAAUGUAGAGCAUAGCCGAAACAAAAAGCUAGAUCUGCAUAGAUUUACAAUACGGAUAGGAGAAAAAGUAAACAAAAAAGUGCAGUUUUACAUAUAUGGAAAACAAUGUACAUCAGCAAGAUGAGAGAGAUGAAAGAAUAAAGAGUAGGAAUUGGAAAAAAAAGAGUCAGGAGCUGCUAUUCAUGAAGGACACAGAAAAGGAGACAGAACAAGAAGGUUGUUCUUAUAGCAAGGACACAAUUAGAAAAGAAAAAAACUGCAGAAAUGGAUAUUUCUUUUCUGGUUGGAGACUUAAAUACCAUGUUGUUGUUUCGAAAGAAAUCUUCAGAUACAUGACAGAGUUGUUUCAUUUCAUUAUAAGGCUUGAAAAAAGUUCAGGAUGGCAACAUAUUUGUUGAAGCCCUGCCAAUGAGUAUACCAGUAACUGAAUCGGGUAGUCUUCCAAAAAUGUUAAAACUGACAGACUAAAGUCAUUUUUGCAUCAAUGAAUAUAAACAAACAUUCAGAAAAUGGCAAUAAACAAUGUAAGUGAAGAAGCAGCUCUCAGUAUUAGAAAAUUUGGAGCAAAAAGCAUUGCCGGUUUGGAAACAUCACAAGAGGAUAAAUCAGAAAUAUAAUUAGGAUGAAACUUUGGCAAGGAGUAAUUUUGAAACAGUAACUUCAGACUAAGUACUGAAAGAAAAACAGUGUAUCAUGAAACUUCAGUUGGUGAAUUAUACACAAUCUAUAAGAGAUUAACUGAGAAACCAGAUCAGGGAGAAAGAUGCUUUGAAGAACUACAUGUUAUUAAUAAAAAAUCUAAAAGUUGAAUCAGAUUAAUCUGGGAUUCAAAAUGAUACAGAUGAAACAGUGCCUCUACGGAAAAAUGAAACUAUCGAGUAUGAAUGCAUUAGUGGAAAGCUGAGAGGUUUCAAUAUUUUUCAAAUCUCAAACAGGUAGUUCUGAUAGUGUAGCAUUGGAAGAACAGCUACAAGAACACUUAUGGGUAAAGAUUAUUCUGAAACACAAACUGAAGUUGAAAGAGAGAAUGCGGAUGGUUCUGUUGAUCAUGUCAUAAGACAAACACAGAAUCAGCACCAGGGUUGGAAGCCAACUUUAGAUUUCAGACACAAUACAUUAUAAAGGUGAAUGCUUUAUAUCUACAGUGUUUGAGUAAGAAUACAACUCCACAGAUUGAGGACUAAACUCAUGAAAAAGAAAAGAGCAAAAAUAGUGAGAAGGAACGUAGUAAUAGGAGAAACAUGUGUGAUAUCACUGAAGGAUUUUACUGAGUAUAGAUGUUGGUUGGAAAAACAUACGUUAUUGUUCAGAAGGAGGGACAGUCGUUUUUACAUUCUACCUAACUGCAUUUUCCUAAAGUUAAUAUUUUGAAUUUAUGUGAAACAUUAAAAAGUAUGCAGGAGCCUUUCCCAAUCUGCUGAAGAUUGGUAAGUUAGUAGAUAUAUAGAGCAGGGGUGGUGAAAUCUGAUUUUGACUUAGUCAUGUUUGUGUUUGCUAAGAGCUAUUUUCUACUUGUCCUUAUAAUGGUUAUGUAGAAAAUAUGGUGAAAUUUUACUUGUUUGAGUAGGCAGGGGAUCAAACUGGGCAAGUCGGACAAAUGAUUUCACCACACCUGUAGAGAUUGUUUAUUUCAUUUUAUGAUCAAACUAUUUUUCACCAAGUGAACGCCAGAUAUGAAAAUCAGUCUUACUGUUUGCUGUUUAAGGUUGAAAAAUAAGUUGAACUUAUUUGUCAGAGAUAUUAUGUUUCACUCUUUUCAGCAGUUUUAGUACCUGUUUUACUUGUGUCUUGUCACUUGUAGUAUUAAAAGUACAUAAAGUUUUACUUUUUUUAUUAACAUGAUAAAAUACAGAAAAUUUCAAAGAAAUAUGUUAAUGUUUAUUUGUGAAACACUACUGUGAUUUGAUUGGACAUUAGUAUAUAAUCAACUGUUCUGUAGACUACUGAAAAGCAUGUGUAAAUAAGAUUAAAAUUCCAAGCACAGGUAUUUUAGAGCAUAAUUGGUGUAGCCUAGUUGCAACAUUACUGUAUUUUUUGAAUAAUUUCAGAGAGUUUGUGGUUUCAUACUUUUGUGAUGGGGUUUAUAAUAAAUUUCUAAACAUAGUAACAAAUUGCAGUGUACUCAAAUUGUUCACUACAAAUGCUAGCAGAAAAUCUACAUGUUUAAGACUUCAGACGAUUUUCAUUUUGCUGUAAUGAAGACAAUUGUAACAAUAUGAGUUUUAGACAUCUCAGACAAAUUGUAUGAAAUUACAACAUCUGUUUUAAUUUUGUUCCUAAGGUUUCUUGCACAAUGAAAUGAAUGCUAUGGAUAUAUAUGUUGACGAAUACCUGUAAAUCUGAAAAAAAUGAGAAUUUAUUAGAUGUUGAUAAUAAUUUUUUUUCCCUUUAAAAUAGACAUAAUUAUAAUCAUAACAUGGCACAGAUUUUUUGUUAGUUAAAUAAGCAUUGUUUCUUCUGUGAUAAACAGUAGUUCAGGAGCCAACCAGUUUCAGAACAUUAUUAUGAUUAUUUUGACUUCUGAUAGCCACAUAAUACCUGUUUCAUUAAUACUCAAAGAAAUGAAGUUUAGCAUAAUUUUAUCAGGCUUUUUUGAGCAUGUUAGAAAGAAACAAUGCUUUCUUAUAAAUAUUGUCUGAUUUACUAUAGUUUGUCACUCAUUUAUUUAAACACUUGCACAUGAGUUCUUUUACAUCAGAGCUAUGAACCAUGGUAAAUUGGAAAUAAACAAUGUAAAGCCAUUAUUUAUCAGAUAAUAGAAUACAAGCAAACCUGUAGGUGCUUGAAUAUUUAAACACUUGCACACAAUUUCUUGUGCAUCUGAGCUAUGAACCAUGGUAAAUUGGACAAUAAACAUUUUACAAUGUGAAGCCAUUGUUUAUUAGAUAAUAAAAUACAGUCAAACCUGUACACAAAGACCUCUCUUGGUGGGUUGUCUCUUUGCAGGAAAUUUAGGUUAAAGUACAAUGCAAAGGGAAAAUUAAGAAAUGAAACUUUAGUUAGUGAUCUUUUGAGACAGAUUGUGACAAUAUAUCCAAUUUCUCAAAAGCACAGGUAUGACUGUAUAAAACCUGUUUAGAAAUAGAUAUAGCUUCAAGGUAGUUCUGCACGUUUGAUAUACAAGACGUGAUGACGUAGAAUAAAGCCUGGAUUUGGUAUACGGAAAUGAAAAUCAUUUUAUGAAUUAAUGGCAACCCGUGAGUAAAUUUACUGCCAUGGCAACGUUACUAUCUUUCUUCAGUUAAAAAUAUGAUAUGAAAACAUAAGUCAAAAUAAUGUCUUAAAACCAGUUUGAAAUGUGCAGAUCACUUCAUUCAUGAGCAAAUACCUCAGAAAUAAGCAUACGUACAUAUACAUUUUUUUUCACAAUAUCAUAGGCCAUAUGUUUAUUUACAACUGUGAGAAGUUUAAGUAAAAUCUCUAUUCUUGAAAAUGUUAUGAAAAUUGUGAUUUUCCCAUAUAGACUCCAAUUGUGAAAACUUGCGUGAGGUCCAACUUUUUCAAAUCAGACUAGCGAACAAUCGAGCACACCUCCCUAUCUUUUUUUUUUUUUUGCUGAAUUUUCUAAGUAUAUUCUGAAGUUUGGAAAAAUCAGGGUUUAAUCAAAUUCUACAUUCAAAUUGUAGAAAUGUUUUUGAUCUGAAUGUGCAGAACUACCUUAAGAUAAGUUUUAUGUGGUUUUAGACAUUGUUUUAGACAUUCUCAGUUAAAGAUUAUGAGUACAGGUCCUAUUUUUAUGUUCUGUUAACUGAACUUAGUGUUAAGUUAGGAAAAUAGAAAGUAAAAUAAUGUACAAAGGAAGUGUGAGGUAUGGAAAGUAAGGUUUUAGAUGAACCAUUGAUUUGAUGAUGUAAUCUUUUUUGUAGUUUUCGUAUAUAAAAUGAUUGCUUAGUUUCAACAAUGGAGAUGUGCUAUCUUUAGAAAUAAUUGAGAAAAGAGCAAAUUAUUUUACUGCAGUAUAAGUUUAUAAGCAGUAGACACAGCCAUGCUUAAAUAGGAAUUUUUCAAUUCACUAAACAGUCUUUUUUAAUUUUUUUGAUACAACCACAUUUUUCACACAAAGGGAAACAAUAUAAUAUAACAGUCUUGAAACAAGCACAUUGGUGAACUUGUGGAAAUAGUAUAAAUGUAACAGUCUUGAAACAUGCACUUUUGUGCACUUGAUGGGAAAUGGUAUAAUGUAAUCGUCCUGAAACAAGCACAUUAGUGCACUUGAUGGACAAAGGCACAUUUGUACACUUGAUGGAAAACAGUAUAAUAUGAUAGUCUUGAAACAAGCACAUUUGUGCACUUGAUAGGAAAUAGUGUAAUGCAACAGUCUCAGAAACAAGCACAUCAGUCACUUGAUGGGAAAAGGCACAUUUUGUGCACUUGAUGGAAAACAGUACAGUGUAAUAGUCUUGAAACAAGCACAUUUGUGCAUUUGAUGGGAAAUGCCAUAAUUUAACAGUCUUGAAACAAGCAGAUUUGUGUACUUGAUGGGAAACCUAUAAUAUAACAGUCUUGGGACAUGCAUAUUUGUGCCCUUGAUGGAAAAUGGUAUAAUGUAAUAGUCUUGAAACGAGCACAUUUGUGCACUAGAUGGGAAAUGGUAUAAUGUAGCAGUCUUUAAACAAGCACAUUUUUGCACUUGAUUGGAAAUGGUAUAAUGUAGCAGUCUUGGGACAUGCACAUUUGUGCCCUUGAUGGAAAAUGGUAUAAUGUAAUAGUCUUGAAACAAGCACAUUUGUGCACUAGAUGGGAAAUGGUAUAAUGUAACAGUCUUGAAACAAGCACACUUGCUUGUGCACUUGGUUGGAAAUGGUAUAAUGUAGCAGUCUUUAAACAAGCACAUUUGUGCACUUGAUGGGAAACAGCACAUUUGUGCACUUGAACUUGGUUGCCAGCUUCACACCUAAACUGAAAAUUUUGGUAGCCCAGCUUGAAACUUGGUAGCCCAGCACAAUCAUUAGAAAUCUGUGAGUGUUUUUUUUUCCACCUCAACAGUAUGACAGUUCAAGCUUCUGAAUAUUUUCAUAGUUCAUAAGAUUUUAUAAUUUUAUAUGCUACAGAGUUUGCCUUAGGUCUAGACUUUGCAUCUGAAAUAAGCUGACAUUUUUCAAGCAUUCUUGAGCGUUCAUGUUUACUAAUACUGCCAUGUACAGUACCAGUUACAUAGGGUUUCCUUUUGUCUCCACUGAACUUGGCACAGGAAGUACACAACCAUUUUCGGUGUCUUUUAACCAAGUUUUAUUUUCCCAUUCCUCAAAAAAAAAUUGUUUUCUUUUCAGCUUUUCAUAUGAGGAAAAAUACUGUUUCUUUUCAUUCGGCAUUUGCUUCGGGCACGGCUUUGAUGGAGGUUUGGAAACACCUUGAAUAAACUGCCACAUUUUAAUUCCAAAUUGUUCAGUCGUCAUUAUCAAAAACAGUUUAAAGACAGUUUAAGAACUAAUACAUUCUAAAAAUGUUCCUGUUCUGUUCUUAAAAUUGUAUCAAGAACAAAUAAAGACCAAUAGAAUCUGUCCCUGAGUGUUCUCCUUUAAUGUUACUUGAAUAAUUAAAAAAAAAUGUGAGUUUAUCUCAUAAUGUAAGCUCCGAUAGUUUAUAUAUGUUUCACUUGUGUCUGAGAUGUUGCAUUUCAGGUACUGUAAUUUUGGGACAACUGUCUUCACUAAUACCAGAAAUGUAUUACAUUAGCACUUUUAUAAAAAGGACUUGAAAUUUAUUUAAAAAAAAGACAAGUUCAGAGCAGUUAAGACUUUUUUUUAAACCUUGUAUCAUAAUAAAGGCACUUUAACUUUCUGAACACCAAUUAAAUUAUUUAAACACAGCAUGGCCGUAACUAUUUGGCAUUGAAACAACAUAUGGAAGGUUUCUAACAUUGUCUACAGCAUUGUCAUUGUCAGGAGUGUUCAGAUAUACCAGUACUUUUUUCAAUUCUACAACAUCUACUACUGACAGAACAUCUGUUCGUCUAACGGCAACUAAUGAUUGGCAAUCCUGGCUCCUGGAAUCUGUGAAGCUGGCAUCUCUUGCAUCUUUUGGGUAACUGCAUACACAACUUUUUUACAUAAAAUGAAGUAUUUCAUGGAAACAAUUUCAUUAUUUCCAUACAUUACAACACUACAAAUUCCUUUUUGCAUACGGCUGUACUUUUCAGAAUAAAAUAUUAUUUCAUUUACAAUGACUCUGUCCACUCUUUUCAAUUUGUUGGAAUUGUCUUGCACCACAUUUAAAUGUUCCUUCACCUCAUUUUGGAUUUUAUUUGGCUUAAGGGGCUUAGCUGCACCGGCAAUAUGUUUUAUUUUUCUGCCAUCUGUCCUUUUUUUAGUCUAGCCCUUUUCUGCAGAUGAAUGACUGAACCUGUCUAUGCUUCAUCAAUUGUUUCAGUACAGUGCCUGUUUCAUAAGCAGCUUGAAGGAGUGUGGCAUUAGCAUCUUCUAAGGGGAAUGCACUACAGGCCCAAAGUGGACCCCAUAGCCUAACAUGCUCCGGCAAAUGAAAUCAAGUACUGUGGACGUUAAGUCCGCAUGAGCCAUCACCAUAUAACUGUUGAAAAGAAGCAUAAAACUGAUCCAGUAGAUCUUUAGCUGUAGCAAGCUCUUCGUGGGUGAUGAUAUCUCUCAGAAGAAUAUGGACUGCUUCAGACAAGUGUGAGAAGUUUUCCAAAUAGUCAUCUUUAAGAGUCUUUUACACAUGGAAAUUUAAACCGGUUUAUGCAUAGUACAAAAGCCGAGACUGUACCUCUACAGCCUUGAAAUGGGUAUAAUGUUUUUCAAGACCUCUUGGCAGUCUUUCUAUACCUUUUGGGGGCUUAAGGUUUUUUAUCUUGCGAGAAAUUUCUUUCAAAUGUUUUCCAAUAAAGCAGUCAAUUUGGCUUUGUUAAGGAGAAAACCACCAUGUCAUUAAAGUUUUGACUACACCCAACAAUACACCAUGCAUGUACUCUGGAAGUGUUCCUUUCACAAUGUUAUAACUCUGAAGAUUUGAAAGCGCUGAAAUUCCCUUAAAGCCACUGGAAUGCUUAUUGUGAGUGCCGGAUUGCAUGUGAUGUUGUACGGACUCCUCAGUUCAAGUAUUGCUUCGGGUGCCAUGGUGAGCUUUUGUGAUCGCUCGAUGUCUGUCGUGCGUCGUCCGUCCAUCAACAAUUUCUAGAAAAAUCUUCUUCUAAACCACUGGGCAGUUUUACACCAAACUUCAUAGAAUUUUCAGAAGAAUGUAUGGACUGUGCAGGUUUGGUUCGACUUGCCUUGAAUGCCAUCGCUUCCUUAUGGGAUGCACUCUUGCUGUGUCUUGAUACCGAAUCUUUGGUAAGCCACGUACAAGGGACGUCCACCAAGGCAGCCAUCCCAAUCUUUACUUUUUGUCGGUCACUGCUGAUGUGGGAUACAGAGCUUGCAUUUCAUACCUGGAAUUAUAAAAGAAAUAUUAAGAAAACCUGUUGAAAAGCACGUAUUCCAAUUUGCCGGAAAUUCACUAUUUACUUACCGAGCAUAGCAGCUAGUCUUGGCCAGAUCUGAUCAUUGAGUCUCUCAACUAUAUCAGUUGCAGACAUUUCCUUGAAUCAAAUAUAAAAAGUUUAAAUUUUGCAGACAAUAAAGUAGUACCUGUUUCAUAAGCAAAAUGUGAAACAUACAUCAAAGGUACAUUCGAAUCAUUUUAUAUCAAUUAAUCAAGGACAGUAACAUGAUCAUUGAUGAGGUCAAAUCCCUGUUUUCCAAUUCCAAUGAUGGGCCACUCUGUUCUCUGUAGCAUUUUAGCUGACUUAAAAUUGACUCCAUUAUUGUAAUCUAAGUUACCUUUAAAUUAACUAGAUUUUGACUUCAAAGCUGAAUCCACAUACAUGUACUUACAUCUACAAUCCAAAACAGACUGGUUUCCUUCUCACCAAGAUAUGCUGCAAGACUUGUAGGAUUGCUGGUAGGAGUGUAGUAACAGUGUCCAUUUCGCUUUCAACUUGUACUUCAUUUACGUACAUCUGUAUUGGAGCGUGAGAAGCUUGUUUGGAUUUGAAGAAUUUUAACAUUCUUCAAAUACAUCUCAGCAAAUGCUUCACAAAGCUUAAGACCAAGCAAAGCUUGACAAUGUUGAAGCAUUAUAUUGUGUUCUGCAAACAUUUUAAGGCCAUUCAUUUUUAAGUUGAUGUAAUGUUUUCCCUUUUUGAUGUGUUUGUGUUGUAGUGGAAAAGAUGUCUUCAUGUUUCAUAGAUAUUUUCCUAGUCUGGCAUCCAUACAUUGCGAUUAUGGAAUUUAGACCAUGAAACCGUGGUGAUUGCUGGGAGAAAAUAGCCUCAGCCUUGUAAACGCUCUGUUAAAAAAAAAGAAGAAAAAAUGUUACAAGCAAAAUGUAAUAAAAAUCCUCACCACAAAUUUUGCUGAGAACCACCUCAUUCUUCCCCAUUUCAGGACAUUUCACCGUCACUCUUUGACCAACUUUGUACAGUCCAUAAUCACACCGUAGCUGCACAGUAUGGCUGAGUCUUAGAACGCUCCUACUGAAGGGGUUGUCAUUUACCCAAACAAACAAUCAAAAAAGCUCUGACAGUGUAAGGAAAAGAAAUAAACACGUUGAGGAAAAUAAUGGCGAAUUCCUUUCUUUGUUCUUUGAAUUAGUGGGCUUAUCAGGAAAGUACUACACUGAUUGCUUUACUGGACACUACAUGACAGGGUCCAGUAUGGGAUAUGUUAUCACUAAAUGAGUCAAACUUCUACCAGUUACCCCAUGGAAAACCUGAAUUUAUUAUCGCGCUGGUCUACAUAUUUUUUGUGAUAGAUCUGUUACUGUUCCAUGUGAGAUUACGUGAAUUUAUACACAGAAUCAAAGAACUAUAAAAUACUAUUUUUAUAGCUCUUUGGAAGAAUAUAACGCUGGUAAAUUUAAAUCUUCAUUUUUCUGUGUUGAUAAUAGUUUAUAUUUCAAAACGCUGGACACGAAAAUCCUAAGAUUUGUUUUGGCCAGUAAUUAAAUUGAAUACAGAAAGCAGCAUAUACAAAGAGGAAACUAUAACUUAUCUUUCGAAACUGGGGAUGAUUCCAAAAGCUUGCUCUCAUUUUUCAUCAUUUUAGAUACACUUUAUUAUGACAGGAUAUAGUAUGAUUAUUUUAUCCUGAGGAAAAAUCAUAGCAAAUUUAAUAAACUAAUGUUAGUAAUUACAGUGUGCGACAUUAACGGUAGCCCGAUCGCCAAUGGCUACGAAAAUUCGGCUCGGGCGACAGAAAAUCGGCAGACCGUAGCCCGUCGGGCUAUGAAAAAUUCUGAGGAAUAAAUUUACCAAAAAGAUCAAUGCAAACGUGGGAGCAAAAUAGUUGCUUUGAAGCUUCAAACUUCGCUCAAAUCCAAUCUCAAAGCGAAUUCCAAGUCGCCCGAAUUUUUUUUUUGGAUGCGCACCCGCUAAUCUUUUGACAAUUUGCACCAUGUCAUAAUGUGCGUUGAAUACACAUACACACUCGCCGAUAGCAUAAUUUAAGCUCCGCCUACUUCAGGUACUUGUGAGAUUUUCGCGAGAAGUGUGAAAGCAAAUCAAAUUAUCGGUUUCACCAGAGGCAAUUGUGAUAGGCCAAUCAGCGCCGCGGUUACGUCUUUGACACUUAGCAUUUAAUUGUCAACACGUGCGAGUCGUUUUCUAAAUAAUUGUCAGUUACAUAUGCGAUUAAUUGGAAUUAUAGACACAAUUAUUUGGUAUCCAUGGUAAAAGAACGACAUGUAAAGUAUUAACUUCGUAAAACUAACUUUGAUGGAUGAAUUGAUUUGAAUACUGGUAUGUAUUUCUAGGUUUGACACAGUUUACUUUCAGUUUUAUUCGAAUGAGAAACUGUUCACACAAGUGGUGACUCGGUAUAAAUGUGUAUGGUAAAAUGAUGUAACUAAGAAAAUGAGUGGUCAUUGAAUCAAUUCACAGCGUCGAGGUAGAAAUAUAAAAAUUAAUGGAGUCUUCCAACUUCUCCCUAAAGUCUCCCCACUUCUCCUUAAAUCAGUUUGAGGGAUAAUUGAUUUCUCCCCCCAAAAAAUGGACCUAGCGAGACCCCUGGUAAGUCUACUGCCAAGCUAUUUCUUGACCUCCAUGUCUACAAAGCUGUUUAGAUCACUUUUCAUGACUCUGUGUCUUUGACUUUCUGCACAAUUUUGUGAACACUGUUUCAGAUUUUGAAAUCAAUUCUGAAAAACUCAUACAAAUUUCUGAAAUAUAUCAACCAACCUACAGCAGUAUAUUGAAAGAAAUUAAAUAUUACUAGAAUGAAAGUCUUGUUCAUUCUUGAAGACUUGAGCGAAAAAUAGUGGGGCUACGAAAAAUUCUGUCGGGCUACAAAAAAUUGGUGGCUACGGUGUUAAAAAGUUAAUGUCGCACACUGUUAAUUAGCAUUUUGAUUUAGAUUGUUUUAUAUUUAUGACGGUGGAGACAUUGUCCAUAAGAAAAAUAACUCAAUGUAUCCCUAGGAUUGCGUCAAAUUUGUUGGACUAAAUGUAUAAUUAUGCAGAUGUAUCAGUGUAGUAGUAAUCUAGAUCUUUGCCCGAUGCUGCUGUAACUAAAGAUUCUUAGUUGAACAUCAUCAUUUGAAUGUAGAAGUAAAUAUUGUAUCAUCGUUCCUACAAAGAGACACAACUGUUUUACUCGCCAUUCGAAAAGACUUUGCAGUUUGAUUUAUCUGCCAGUUUUAUGAAGUUAUAUCCUGAAGAUUAAAGUCUCAAAUACCGAUCUGUGUCACCAUUUUGAUGUCCAUUCGCAUAACUGUUUCUUACGUUUACAUAACCUGUAGAAAGAACAAUAAUGUCAUAAACAAUGUAUAACAUGCCCCUGGAAAUGAGUAACAGAAAAAUAAAUAAAGUAGAAUACAAACUUACAUGAGAAAAUAGAAUCAGGUAUAGGACGAAUUAUUUCAAUAUCGUUUUACAAAAAAAGGGGCAUAAUUUAAGAAAUCAUAAUCAGACAUAAACCCCUGCGAAAUAAUCUGGAAUAGUUCUAGAACUAUACUAACAUUGUUCUAGAAUAAGUGCUCUAGAACAGUACUAGAACAACGCUCAUUAGUUCUAGAACAUUUAAAGAACAGUUCUAUUACGUUAAAUGAGACAAAUCUGUCCCUGGAAUGUUCUAGAACUGUUCUGUUACUUUUUUUUAUCAGUUGUGCUAGAACAGUUCUAUAACAUUUCAGGGACAGAUGUUCUAGAACUGUUCUGACCAUUUGUUCUAGAACAGUUCUACAGCGUUAAAUGGGACAGAUCUUCCCUGAAAUGUUCCAGAACUGUUCUGGUUACUAUUUUGACCACUUGUUCUAAAACAGUUCUAGAACAAAAACCCUAUGAUAGGUCGAGAACAGUUCCAGAACAGUUCUUGAAAUGAUAUGUGAUGAUUCUAGAAUAGUUCCAGGACACCUGCUCAGUAAACGGCUGAAACAUACUUGUAGUUCUAGAACUUGGGGGGGAUGUACCUAGAAUGAAUCAAUGAUCCAAAAAAUAUGCAAAUAAAAGUAAACUCACAAAACUACAAUAAUGUUUAUUACAAAAGUACACCCCUUGACAUUUACUGUUACUAUUUAUAAUAUUAACUGUAACUAAUAACUAUAAUAUAGUUUAACUAUUAACUUGUAACAAUGUUAAUAAAAUGAUAGUGUAAAGAAGCCGAUGAAAAGAUCUGCAGACUUAACUUGAGGCUUGACAGCAGCUGCCCUCCUCUCCAUUUUCAUAAUGUUAUCAAAUUUUUUUUUGAAGAUUACAGUAUUCAUAGACGGACGUUUAGUCAGAACAACACGCUCCAACAACUGGAGCCUUAUGUCGUCCAAGACAGUAACCUAAUGUUCUAUUUAUCCUACCUUCUGGUCUAAAAUCAUUCUUUAAUUAAAAUUCAAAAUUUACCACCAACUAGAUCUGAGUAUGUCUUGCGCAGAAAUUAAUACGCCCCUACUUUACACACACAGGACUUUAAAGUAAAAUUAUUAUAAAAUAAGAGCCGAAAAACAAAGGCUAACCUUGCUCUGCUUUGUGUCUGACUUCUCUGUACUGCUAAACAUUAAAGAAUAAUUUUAAUUUGCUGCCAAGUGAAGUUUUGUCCGAAGUUCAAUUGAAUGUCGGAUUGCCCAUCCUCACCAAGCAAACGACUGAUGAGACUUAUAUACACGCCAUAUCGCCGCUUGACAAAACAAAUAGGCAAACUGUUUCCUCGAUGAUUUUAUUCAAUAACACUCCAUUACAGAUGCAAUAUAUUCCCAGAUUGAAGUGUGGAAAGCUAAAAAUCUGAACAAACACUAUACAUGAGUCACUUUCCGUUUCUCCGAGCAUUUCCGUUAUAAAAACUUCUUGUAGUAAUUGCAAGUACGGUAUGUAUACACUAUACAUUUUUGACAUGGUCUCACGUACCUAAUAAAAGGGCGUUUAUGAAAAUAAUUGCAUAAAUAUGUCUUUUUAGCAGUUAUUCUCAAAAACAAGAUGGCGUCGUUUUAAAAAAAAUCCAAAAAGUAGUCCGCCAAGCUUUAUUUAGUCACUGACCAGAUAAAGCAAAAUUUAUUUGACCCCUUGAUUUCUGCCUUUAUUUUAAAUGAAGGUAGGAUAAAUAAAAUAUAACAAUCCAAGAUUAAUCUAAUCAAUUUCUGUUUUCAUUUACAAGUACUGGUGAAAACCUUAAUUAUGUAUUUAUAAAUAAUCAGUGACAUUCAUUAAUAGAGAUUAAUAUUUUCAAGAGCAUUUUCUGAGAAUACUACUGGACAUAUUGAAAAGUUAAAGUUAUACAGGUUUUUCUAAAUUUUUGAGUAACAAUUAUUGUAUAGAACAUUUGAAGAACAUUUAUCCCUUAACUGUUCUAAAAGUGUACUGGAAUUCUGUUGCAGAUCGUUUCUAGAACAUACCGUAAUAAUUCUAUUUAUAGCCCGGGCGUUUAUUAGAAACACGGUCGGCUCAAAAGUUAGGGAAGGGCGAAUAAAAGAGACAAAUCACCAGCAAACAUUCAAAAUCUUGAUGUAAUAUUUAUUUUCGAAUGUACCGGUGACUAUAAGAAAGUAAUGAUGUGAUAGUCGUACAAAAGUCGUUUUCAAGCAAAUUUAAAAAACACCCUAUUGUUUUAGAUCAAAGCGCCUUGAAUCCAGUAUUGAUUAAAUUUCCCCUGCGGGACCCCUGUCUCAAAAUGUCAGACUAGUGACGUGACGUAAUUACGAAAAGCGCGCACCUUUGCAUUAGCACAUGUUUACCUGGGUCAAUACACAUUACAUGUACCAUAAUAAUUCUAUUUAUAGCCCAUGCUCUGAUAAACGCCCAGUCCCGACUUUUGUAAAAAAAACGGCCUUUUUUAAGAAAAAAAUAAAGAAUACGAUGUUAUCUAAUAAGCGCCCAUCCUAUGAAUCUUAGAAAAUAAUCCUACCUUUUAUCAGUUAAACAGUGAGUUUUCUUACUUCCCUUCUGAUGUAAGAUCGUACAUCACUUUUCUUGUCUUUAAUUCUGGCUGCUUUAACUGAAACUAACACACAUGCCGCCAUAUCAUAUAUACAUGUAAGUGUAUUGACCCAGGCAUUCAUGACAGAAUAAAUUAAAUUUAAUCAUGUAUUUUGUGAGUUUAGCUUGGCCGGUUAUAGUACCGAUCUAGUACGGCCGACAUCAUUACUUUCUUAUAGUCACCGGUACAUUCGAAAAUAAAUAUUACAUCAAGAUUUUGAAUGUUUGCUGGUGAUUUGUCUCUAUUAUUCGCCCAUCCCUAACUUUUGAGCCGACCUUGUUUCUAAUAAAUGCCCGGGCUAUAAAUAGAAUUAUUACGGUAUAUAUGAUAUGGCGGCAUGUGUGUUAGUUUCAGUUAAAGCAGCCAUAAAAGGUUAUCAUGUUCAUAAAAAUAAUCAUCCUUUCGGAACUAUACUGACAUGCAUAUUAGAACCUGAAAACGAACACAGUGAUUGUUCUUUUGUUCGUGCAAGGAGCGGGCAUUGUAAUACUGUGUUCAUAUAAAAUCAGGGACAUAAUUCCUGAUAAAAUAUACGGAAUUAAAGACAAGAAAAGUGAUGUACGCUCUUACAUCAGAAGGGAAAUAAGAAAACUCGCUGUUUAACUGAUAAAAGGUAGGAUUAUUUUCUAAGAUUCAUAGGAUGGGCGCUUAUUAGAUAACAUCGUAUUUUUGAUUUUUUUCUUAAAAAAGGCCGUUUUUAUUUACAAAAAGUCGGGACUGGGCGUUUAUUAGAGCAUGGGCUAUAAAUAGAAUUAUUACGGUAUGCAGAACUUGAUUUGACAAAAUCUUCUAGAAUUUUGUUUCAGAACAUUUGUAGAACAUUUGAAGAAAUUGAUAUUUCCUUGAAAUGUUCUAAAAAUGUUCUAAAACUAAGUUCUGGAACAUUUGUAGAACUUGUAAAUCACAGAAUAGGUCAUGAAUUUAUUUUGGAACAUUUUAAGAACACUUUUAGAACCAAAUAUUGUUCUGCAAAUGUUCUUGAUUUGUAUAAUAAAAUGUUCCAGAACAGUUCCAGAGCAGUUGUUCUAGAACUGAGUUACGGAACACUUCUAGUACUGUUCUGUUAUGUUCGGAAACAGUUCUAGAACUGUACUGAUUUCUAGAACAGAUUUUCGCAGAGGAUACCCCGAUGUUUCCCAAACACGAUAGGUAAAUGAGAUUCUGAGAUUUCUGUUUUUAGCUCACCAGAGCACAAAGAGCUCAAGGUAAGCUAUUGUGACCGGUCAUUGCCUGGCAUCCGUUGUGUGUCAGUGCGUCAACAUUUGCCUUGUGAACACUCAAGAGGCCACAUUUGUGACCCAAUCUUUAUGAAACUUGGUCAGAAUGUUAGUCUUGAUGAUCUCUAGGUCAAUUCAAUAGAGUCACCAAAAUUUACAGGAAUGAUGGUCAGCAUGUGAAGUUGUGCACCGGGGGUUUCGCGUCGGGAUUCAUCCAGUCAUGUAGGAGUUAUAGCCCCUAGAAAUAAAAAUGAGGCAUGCCUUUCUAGACAAAAAUAUCAAUUUUGUAAGACAGUCACUCAACAACUAUCUCUGUAAAAUUAUUUUGAAAUCUGGGCAGUAGUUGAUUUUUAGCUGCACUAUUCGGAGAAUAGGGGGGUACUAUUCGCCCCGGCGUCGGUGUGACCCUUCUUGGUGAAUGUUUUUUCGGCAACCUUUGUUUUUCUGUCGUAUCUUUGUUACUUUUGCUUAUAUCAUACUGUAAGUUUACAUUAAAAUUGUCCAGCAUACAAACAAAGUAUGUGCAGGGGCUGGGCUCACUAUACCCAAGGUCAAGGUCACCAAGAAGUUAUACUUUGAAUUAUUUUCAUGUUAAAUUUUUUCGAGAGCUUCGUUUAUAGACAUAUCUUUGGUACUUUAAAAGAGAAUGACUUGAAAUUAAAAGUAUUUGUUUAUAAUCAUCUGCAUGUGUGGCUACAUACCCCAUAACUCUAAUUGUGUUUUUGGCAGAAUUAUGCUCCUUUUGUACUUAAACUUUUUUGCAAUCUUCGCUUUCUGGAUAUAACUUUAAUGCAAUAUAAGAUAAAGACUUGAAACUUACAUUGUAUCUUUAUCAUCAUCAUCUGCAUGUGUUGUAACAAUCCUAAUAACUCAAAUUUGUGUAUUUGAUGGAAUUAUGCCCCUUGGUGUAUCUUCCUUUUAAAGUAGAGGUCUCUUAUGCAGACAUAAUAUUCAUUUUACUGUCAAAUCCCCGAAUAGUGGAGCGCGCUGUCUUAUGGACAGCUCUUGUUUAGGUUUUUUUUUAAUUCAGAGAAGUUGUUUGAAGAAAACGUUGACUAAAGAAUAGACGGACGACAGUAUCCCAAAAUGCUCACUUCGUACUCAGGUGAGUUAACAGUACAAAAUGUGUUGCUUGUUUCAAAGGUGACCUUGCAUUCCUUGAUAAUUGUUAAAAGAUUGAAAGAAAAUAUAGUACAAAUUUCCAAUAUGUUUAUUAAAAUACAAAUUAAUGAACUCAAAUAGUCAUAUUGCAAUUUGUUCCUUGGAAAUUUCCCGUCGGCUGGCACUUGUCUUCUCGCAGUACUAAUUCUUUCUCUGGUUUCGCGCGCUGAAAGUAAUAAUUUUGUACACUAUUAAGAAAAGCUAUCGAAUUUGCAGUAAAAAUUAUAUUUUCUUUCUGUUAAAUUAUGUUGUUGCUUUUUCUUUUAAUAAAUGAAUUCUGGGUUAGCAUUAGACCUGAGUAAUAAAAUCAAUAUGUUUUGUACUGUUAAAAUGUUAAAUAAUAAAACAAAUACCAACCCUUUCCUUUUGUACAACGUCUUACAAGUUGUUGCCGUUGCUUUUUUCAUCACGGGAUUUAUCAACAGUCUGUAAAUUAUGAAAUAUAAAGUGAAAUAGGGAUGACAAUGAUCUUAUGUAACACUAACUUUUUUUCAGAGAUACAAACAAAUUAUUUCAACGUGUGUGUGUGUGUUUUUUUUUUUUACAUAAUAACUUCGGUAAUGUUUGCACAUAUGUUAAAAUUACCUUCUUUUUAGCUCACCUGUCACAUAGUGACAAGGUGAGCUUUUGUGAUCAAUCUUCGUCCGUCGUCUGUGCGUCCGUGCGUCAACAAUUUCGUGUCUGCACGACAGUGGUUUCGUUUAUGAUUUUAUUUUAACCAAACUUGCACACAACUUGUAUCACCAUAAGAUCACAGUUCCUUUCUUGAACCGGCCAGAUCCCAUUAUGGGUUACAGAGUUAUGGCCCCUGAAAGGGCCAAAAUUAGCUAUUUUGACCUUGUCUGCACAAUAGCAGCUUCAUUUAUGAUCUGAUUUUUACCAAACUGGCACACAACUUGUAUCACCAUAAGAUCUUGGUUCCUUUCUUGAUCUGGCCAGAUUCCAUUAUGGGUUCCAGAGUUAUGGCCCCUGAAAGGGCGAGAAUUAGCUAUUCUGACCUUGUCUGCACAAUAGCAGCUUCAUUUAUGAUUUGAAUUUAAUCAAACUUGCACAAAACUUGUAUCACCAUAAGAUCUCGGUUCCUUUCUUGAACCGGCCAGAUCCCAUAAUGGGUUCCAGAGUUAUGGCCCCUCAAAGGGCCAAAAUUAGCUAUUUUGACCUUGUCUGCACAAUAGCAGCUUCUUUUAUGAUUUGAUUUUAACCAAACUUGCACAAAACUUGUAUCACCACAAGAUCUUGGUUCCUUUCUUGAACUGGCCAGAUUCCAUCAUGGGUUCCAGAGUUAUGGCCCCUUAAAGGUCCAAAAUUGGCUAUUUCGGCUUUUGCAGCCAUAUAGAGACUUCAUUUAUGGUUUUAUUUGAUACAAACUUCCAAAAUAUCUUCAACAACAAUACAUCUUAGAUUCCAUGACAAAUCAGAUCCAUUCGUGGGUUCCAAAGUUAUUUUAUCUUAUACCUGAUUACCUCCCCUGAUUGUUUUCAAAAAGCUUAAUCAGUCUGUGAUUUUAGGUCGGGACUUCCUAAAAGACCAAAAGGCCUGGGUUGAUUUUGGCAAUGAUAUGUUCCAGUGUAUUAGGAGGACUACUUAGAAAUUUCAAGUUUUGGUUGAAUUCCAUAUAAAUAUAAUCCGCAAAGUAGAUCCCUAGGAAGCACCGAGAACAAUGCAGUCAGUGAAAAUUGCAGACUCGGUUUGAUUGAGGCUGUUCAUGAACAGUAAUGGAAAAUGCAACACUGCCCAUGCCCCCUAGCACCGGCUUAAGCAGUAUUCAAAACACAUUUUUUCAACAACUUGUCAACGGUGACAAUAACUGUCUCUUGAAAGACCACUACCUUCUUUUGAUGAGGACACAGAUUAUUUUGAACACAGUUGAGUAAGGUUUCAUCAUUGAUAUGAUCUAUAUCUGCAUUAUCCAAAACAAACUUAUCAGUGCUGCAGACUUUUAUUACUGCAUAUUUCAGGUCAUUUACAACCACAAAACAUACAGUAAACCCAUAUUUUUCCUCAUUUUGUUCAUCCAGAAAUGAAAUUGUGUAGCAAUUCUGCAUUUUGAUAUUCCUUGCAAUGGUAUACGGUUUCCCCUUUCUGCAGUCUGCAGAAGGUCAAUGGUGACUGAGCCAGCAUUUCUGCCGGUAGCAUGCCAUAAUGUUGAUGGGUAUCCACCAUUGGCUUGGUUGCCCCUAAAGCCUUUUUUCUGUGCCACUUUUAUCCUCCCUGUUAAGCUGUUUAAAUUGGUUGUUUGUCAAUUAUUUUGACAAAUUUUGUUUUAAUUUAAUAUAUUGACUUGUCGCAUGGUACAUUGUUAUGUAUGUGUUCUGUAAUUUUUUUAUCAUUUUGGGGUAAAAUCACCAUUUUUUUGGGUAAAAUAAAUACUGAAUUUUGAGAAUUUGUAAUACAAUAUCAUAACUACUUCUUGUUUGUCCUUUCCUUUUCUACCCAAAUCAUACCUGCAAUGUUUAUGUCACUUGAUUAGAUCAUCAGAACACUGAAUUUCAUCAAUCUUGUAUGGUACCUCAUGAAACAAGGCACUGGACACAUCAGUUCAUUGGCAUCACUCUCCAGUAUGAACAUUUUUACCAUCCAAACCAGGUUUAAUUGUUUUCCCUGACUUGACAGAUUUUUUUCCUGUCCUUGAGCAAUUAAUCAGCUCUUCUUUUUCAAAGAACACAAUUGGGUUUAGUCUCUUUCAUACUCAAAGAACACAGUUGGGUUUAGUCUCUUUCAUACUCAUAUGCAAAAUAAUCAAUGUAGUAAAAACAAGAAAAAUCAGUUGCUUGCAAACUCUUGUUACAGUUGUCAGCAUGUACAGCAAUCCAACAGCAGAAUACGUACAAGACAAACACAUGGCAUUAUGCCAUGAGAUCCAUCAGAUCUUAAAUUAGCAAAAAAUGUUAAGUCAACAAACAAAUGCACCGACACUUUAACUUCUUAAAAUCUGAAACUAUAAAAUAAACAGCAAGUUAAUCACCACAACUGAAUCAGACUAAACAAUUUUUUCUGGUCUAUUCAGUCCUUAAAGUGUGACCUCCUUAUGAAGAUUUUCCAACUUCGUGGAGAAACAUUCCUUCGAAAUCCCGUUUAUUCUUAUAACAAGUCUCUCUAAUAUUAGUAACGUGUCUGCAUUCAGUGGUGGUCUUGGCGAGCCGAUACAUUUUGAAGUUUUUUCCCCGUCCUAGAACAGUUUACAAGUUCAUUUACAUCGAAGAUGGCUUUUGCCAGGAUUGUAAAAAUUCUUGAGUAUUUGAGGACAUCAGAUGGCCUACCAGAUCUAACCAUAUCUAACACACAACCCUGCUAUUAACAUGGCAUCUGAAGUUAGGUCAAGAUGGUCAAAUAUAAGUAAGUAUUGACCCUGGGAUCAUAAUUUGUAUUUGUUCUUUGUAGAAUUAUUUGAACAAUUUUGAAAAGGGGCCACCCGUGCAUCAUUCCUUUGAAGUUUGAUGUAAAUCUGCCAAGUGGUUUCGAAGAAGACUUUUUAGCUCACCUGUCACAAAGUGACAAGGUGAGCUUUUGUGAUCGCGCGGUGUCCGUCGUCCGUCCGUGCGUGCGUAAACUUUUGCUUGUGACCACUCUAGAGGUUACAUUUUUCAUGGGAUCUUUAUGAAAGUUGGUCAGAAUGUUUACCUUGAUGAUAUCUAGGUCAAGUUCGAAACUGGGUCACCUGCCUUCAAAAACUAGGUCAGUAGGUCUAAAAAUAGAAAAACCUUGUGACCUCUCUAGAGGCCAUAUAUUUCAAAGAUCUUCACAAAAAUUGGUCAGAAUGUUCACCUUGAUGAUAUCUAGGUCAAGUUCGAAACUGGGUCACGUGCCUUCAAAAACUAGGUCAGUAGGUCUAAAAAUAGAAAAACCUUGUGACCUCUCUAGAGGCCAUAUAUUUCAGUAUACUUCAUGAAAAUUGGUCAGAAUGUUCAUCUUGAUGAUAUGUAGGUCAAGUUCGAAACUGGGUCACGUGCCUUCAAAAAGUAGGUCAGUAGGUCAAAUAAUAGAAAAACCUUGUGACCUCUCUAGAGGCCAUAUUUUUCAUGAGAUCUGUAUGAAAGUUAGUCUGAAUGUUCAUCUUGAUGAUAUCUAGGUCAAGUUCAAAACUGGGUCACAUGCGGUCAAAAACUAGGUCAGUAGGUCUAAAAAUAGAAAAACCUUGUGACCUCUCUAGAGGCCAUAUAUUUCAUGAGAUGUUCAUGAAAAUUGGUCAGAAUGUUCACCUUGAUGAUAUCUAGAUCAAGUUCGAAAGUGGGUCACAUGUCUUCAAAAACUAGGUCAGUAGGUCAAUUAAUAGAAAACCCUUGUGACCUCUCUAGAGGCCAUAUUUUUCAUGGGAUCUAUAUGAAAGUUGGUCUGAAUGUUCAUCUUGAUGAUAUCUAGGUCAAGUUCGAAAGUGGGUCACGUGCCUUCAAAAACUAGGUCAGUAGGUCAAAUAAUAGAAAAACCUUGUGACCUCUCUAAAGACCAUAUUUUUCAUGGGACCUGUAUGAAAAUUGGUCUGAAUGUUCAUCUUGAUGAUAUCUGGGUCAAGUUUGAAACAGGGUCAUGUGCGGUCAAAAACUAGGUCAGUAGGUCAAAUAAUAGAAAAACCUUGUGACCUCUCUAGAGGCCAUAUUUUUCAUGGGAUCUGUAUGAAAGUUGGUCUGAAUGUUCAUCUUGAUGAUAUCUAGGUCAAAUUCGAAAUUGGGUCAUGUGCCGUCAAAAACUAUGUCAGUAGGUCAAAUAAUAGAAAAACCUUGUGACCUCUCUAAAGGCCAUAUUUUUCAUUGGAUCUUUAUGAAAAUUGAUCUGAAUGUUCAUCUUGAUGAUAUCUAGGUCAAGUUCGAAACAGGGUCAACUGCGGUCAAAAACUAGUUCAGUAGGUCUAAAAAUAGAAAACCAUGUGACCUCUCUAGAGGCCAUACUUGUGAAUGGAUCUCCAUAAAAAUUGGUCAGAAUGUUCACCUUGAUGAUAUCUAGAUCAAGUUUGAAACUGGGUCACGUGCCUUAAAAAAACUAGGUCAGUAGGUCAAAUAAUAAAAAAACCUUGUGACCUCUCUAGAGGCCAUACUUUUCAUGGGGUCUGUAUGAAAGUUUGUCUGAAUAUUCAUCUUGAUGAUAUCUAGGUCAAGUUCAAAACUGGGUCAACUGCGAUCAAAAACUAGGUCAGUAGGUCUAAAAUUAUUAAAAUCUUUUGACCUUUCUAGAGGCCAUAUUUUUCAAUGGAUCUUCAUGAAAAUUGAUCUGAGUGUUCACCUUGAUGAUAUCUAGGUCAGUUUCGAAACUGGGUCACGUGCGGUCAAAAACUAAACCAGUAGGUAUAAAAAUAGAAAAACCUUGUGACCUCUCUAGAGGCCAUAUUUUUCAUGAGAUCUUAAUGAAAAUUAGUGAGAAUGUUCACCUUGAUGAUAUCUAGGUAAAGUUCAAAACAAGGUCACGUACCUUCGAAAACUAGGUCAAUAGGUCAAAUAAUAGAAAAACCUUGUGACUUCUUUAGAGACCAUAUUUUUGAAUGGAUCUUUAUGAAAAUUGGUCAGAAUUUUUAUCUUGAUAAUAUCUAGGUCAAGUUCAAAACUGGGUCACAUGAGCUCAAAAACUAGGUCACUAUGUCAAAUAAUAGAAAAAACGACGUCAUACUCAAAACUUGGUCAUGUGGGAAGAGGUGAGCGAUUCAGGACCAUCAUCGUCCUCUUGUUAGAAAUUGUUGACACACGACACAUCGAGCAGUCACAAAAGCUGACACCUUGAGCCUUUUGCUCAGGUGAGUUAAAAAUGAAUCAUGAUUAAUUAACACCAGAGUAAAAAAUUCUACAUAAUUAUAUACUUUCACUUACUAAAUUUGACUCAGAAUUGGAAGCUUCAGACACUGAGUCGGCUCUGUCAGGUUAGUAUACUGUGGUUGUCAGGUGUAGAAUAAGUAGGUGCUGGUGAUACAUUUGGCUUGACUAAUGGUACAUCAGGCUCUGCACCAUUUUGCUCAAGUUCAGAAUCAUGUGCUUGCACAAGUAUUUCAGACGGGCACAUGUCAGCCGAGCACCGAAAACAUAAAUGUUCCUUUUAAAGUGUGAAGAAUCUUCCAAAAAUAUAAGGUGCAUACUAUGCAACCUCUUAAACUCCCAUGAGGCAAAAGCAUAAUAUAUGAUUACAGUGCAUAUUAAAAAUGUUAGUACACACACACAUUAGAUAAGACGAUAUAAUCCGAUGUUAAAUUCCUGCUCACUUAUGGACUUCUGAUAUAAUUUUACAUUUUCAAAGUUGUUUAAUAUAUACCAAGUUCUUGCAUAAGGCCACACCAAAUUGAUGUCUUGUUCUUCGGAUUUUUUUCAAAAAUAUUUGGGGCGAGUGAGCGAAAAAAUAAUAAUUUUUUUUUUCAAAUCAUUUAUUGAAGCGAGCGAAGAGUGAUGAAAUAAAAAUAAAAAAUAAAUAAUCGCUUGUGUCAUGUUUAUCACCAAAUCAAGUGUAUUUCUAUUCAUAAGCCGGAAAAACAAAUCUGUGUGAAGUAACAUUCAGACAGCAUUGUCUUUGGAGUAUAUGCAUGAAUGUUUAAUGUGCAUACAAUAAAAAGAAAUAUAUCUGCUCCUGACAUUAGACCUUUUAACCUUUGAAGUGCUGGACAACAUGACUUGUAUCUAUUACAAAUGCAGAUCACACAGCACUCUAUUGAACCUGUUAAUCUGAGGAGGUACUAUUCGGUGCCAAGUCUGCAGGCUGGGUUUUACUGACAGAAAUCAAAUGAAAAUCCAGCACUUUGAGAGUUUGACUAUACAAAGUAAACAAAAACAAAUGUUGACACUUUUGAGUGACAUACAAGCAAAUGUCUAGAAUUCCUGGUGUAUUGUCAUGUACCAUCUUUUAUAUCACUCAAACCAAAUAAAGAAUUGUAGAACAAUCAACAAAAACAAAAACCUGCGUUUGAGAAACACACAUAACCCCGGUGGGUUUUACACGGCUGUAUCUGCGGAAAGAUUCAUCUUAUUGUAUAGCGCAGCAGCCCUAACAUCUCUGUAAAACUGCAGCUGGGGGAAAUCUCAACAGCUGUUGCUGAAAAUACCUGCCGUUCGUCAUCUCGGCAUGAGAUAAAAAAAGACAUAGGGGGCUGCCAUUUUGUUAUGCCCUAUUUUUAAAGUGAUCGAAUAUUACAAAUUUUAAUCGAAUAACCUCGUACUACCGGGGUAGGUAUCCCUUCUGUGCGGUAGGGAGACUACGUAGUCGGAUCGGUGACUGUAUUAGAGAACAUGUUCUUCCGUUGCUCCGAUAAAUUACAAGCAAGUUGCGUUUAAACUUCGGAAUUUCCACUUUUUUUUUUGUUCCUACUGAUUUCGACCCAGCACAAAAAAUACGCCAGGUGCAGGCUGUCAAAAAAAAAUUAAAAUAUUUUUUUUUUCAUUUCCCGUCAAAUUGGUGCGGGAAAUCCGACGAACAGGUAAUCAGUUUGGUGUGGCCUAAGUUGUGUAAUAGUUCACCCAUCAAUUAGGUCAAACCAUCAAAUAUAAAUAAGUAUAUUGACCCUGUGAUCACAAUUUGAACAAUCAUUUGUAUAUGUACAUUACACUAAAUAUCUAAGCUCUAGGCCUUCAGGUUUCGGAGAAUAUUUUUCAUUGGUGCGUCAUGUGCUCGGAACGUACGGCUUCUUAUUUAUAAAUCAAUAUGUGGGAGUGAAAACAUCAGUCGAUUUUAAUGAUUUUGUACCAUUCUAAAGCUUUAAUGUUUAUCUAAUUAUUUAUAUAAAUGGAAUCCCUAAAGGAAAAAAAUAAAUCUUGCAGACAAAAUAGAUAUAAAAUGUUUCGAGUCAAGCCAAUUUUCAUGGAUUGGUCGGCAAAGGGCAAACAUACAAUAUUUUAAUUUAGGCCUUGAGUGUCUCCCAUCUAACUAAGAGGCCUGUACUGGUUCAUCCUAGGAAAGACGGCUUCGCGUGUAUCGGUACUAUAACACUAGGCACGUUACUGAACCAGACCGUCUAUUCGCAAAGAGCUAGAAUUAGCCGGACAGGCCUGUAUCUAAAAAGGAUUUUUCACUAUCUGUUCUGCAGCAUGGUGCGCAGUUUUGAAGUCCUAGGUUAAGGAUACUCAUAAUUAACCCUCUCGGCAGGAUACACCCAACUGUUUCCUGGUGCACGUCUUGCUAACACAAUCAUGUCCAAGUUCAGAUCUUUAAAAAAACUUAUUGUUGCACAUUUUCAUUGAUCAGUACCCCAAUCAGAGAACUUGAGUAACACUCUUGGCAAAUUUCUGUUUGAGGAUAGCACACACAGCAGCAGCAUGACGAAAUUGAUUUGAUGUUUGCAUUACUGAAUCAUUCACUGACAUAAACUUGGCCCCUUACAAAAGAUCCUUCAACUGUUUGUGGUGUUUCACAUACCAAAUAGACAGAUGGGAGUAGUAGACAAUGGGAUAAAAAAUAAGAUUGGCUUGUUGUAACUUUUUAUGUUCACUUAUUAUAAAAUAGACAUGUCAGCACGAUCCUUACAUUUGCAAACAACUGGAUCCAGUUGUUCGAAACUUCAACAGGCGACUGAGGUAAUGGUCGAUUAAAUUUAUUAGUAUAUUUCGACAGUUUAGAAAACUUAGAAAAACAAAUGUACUUGUUAAGUAUUAUAAACACUAAAUCAUCUUUACAGUAAAAUUAAAACAUCAUACUAGUGUUUCCCAACCACCAAGACUAGUAUCUUGAAUAGAAAUUUUACAGGCGGUUAGUUUAACAGCUUACUGCAGGGGUCAUGGGUUCGAGCAUCAUUGGGGUCACGACCAUGACUUCUCAUAUGGCACCAGUACAGGUUUUCCCAGGAAACGGACUCGAGAGUGGUUACAAUAAGCUUGAAGCUUUCAUCACAAUCGAGCUAAAACAAAUUAGUAUAAACUAAACUAAACUAACAGCCCGUUAAAGUUUCGAACAACUGGGCCCUGUUAGAAAGUCAAACAACUACAUCAUUCUUACAAGAAAGGCACGAUAUAGUUAAAAGUGUUCGUAGUCCUACGAGCAUCUACGCACUAACAUUUUAUCCUGAUAAACAAAAUAAAUAAAUAAAUAAACACCGACACUGGUUCCUGUUUUUGUAAGAACAAAAAUGAAUAUAACCAUAAUUUCUAAUAGAAUCUGAUAAUUUGUAUGUGAUUAUGUAUAUUAUAUAUUACCAGUAAGCACUAGUCCAUACUUAAAAUACCAGAUUACUUCAAAAACAGUAUUUUUUUUAUCCAACAUGUUUACCUCCGAUUUGCUGUCAGCCUUUUUUGUAGUUUCAGAACCUGGCUAUCUUCUUGAAUCAACGUAUCUGUCAUCGUGUUUCGCCAACAUGCAAACUCCUCACAAAAACUAAUUGUUCAGUAGUUCAAUUUUGAGUAUUUUUGAGAAAUCCAUAUUUAACUGUUUAGCAUUUGCGAUUGCAAAUGACUCAAAGUGUUAAUGAAUGUCAAAUUUUAGUAAGUCCGGUAUUUGAGUAAAACUGAAUUUAUACAAAGUAACCUGCAUUCUUUCACCUGCCCUACUGGCAAAAAAGUGCUAACGGUACAAAGAUACCGUAUUUUCCCGAAUAAACGCCCCCGGGGGCGUUACAUUUUCCAAAGCAUAAAAAAAAAUAUAAAAAAUGAAAAAUUUUAUAAAACUUAAAAACAUCGUUCAAACCAACUGUAAAGUGUUUCUGUGUUGUUUAAUUCCCCCAAAACGUAAUUAUUUGGCAUCCAACUUAAUGCAGUGUGUCUUAAAAUUAUGCAUUUAAAUAUGGUACCUCAUGUAUUCCGUGACACGCUCGCGACAUUACACAUUAUGUCAUCAUAUCCAAACAGCUGUGUACCACGAUAAUAUUUUCCUUAGUACAUGCGGGUAGCAAUACACAAUGUCAGUGGUUUGACACGCUGCUUAUGUGUCGGCAUUUAAAUUAAAAGUUAUUAAAACUGCCGAAGAAAAGGUUAACACGUUGCCGCAAAUUUGUUUAAAGUCGACAGGAAGCAUGUGCGCGGGUGGUGCAAAAACAAAUCAAAAAUGGAUUUACCGUGUAAUUUUCUAUUUGAUGAUUGGAUAUGUACUGUACUUAGUAUAAACGUUUUGGAUUUAUGGUACAUGGACUGUUUAAAAGUGUGUUUAAUUCUUAAUACAUUGGAUACUUACUGUAAAUUACUUAUUAUGUGAACUUAUAAAAAUGAGGUAGGUGAUUUUUUUUUCAUUCUUGUUGACUUUUUUUCCCUCCGAAACGGGUGGGGGGCGUUAAUUAGAGGGUGGGCCUUAAUUCGGGAAAAUACGGUAAUAUCACUCUUAUAAAAACACGUUAAUCCUAAUUUCUAUAGUACGCGUGGGACAUCUAACACCACUAAAUUGCAUACGGUUUCGUCCGAAAGAACAUUUAAGUCUUCUUCAGAAGGUAAGCCGUGACGAAAGCUAACAAAUGGCAGAUCUCGCUCCAUGACUUCGAACAAAGGUUGAUAGAUGCCGUAGCAAUACAGUAUUUUCUGAGGGGGACUAUCAAACAUAUCCUCUUUGUGACGUAAGAGGCGAAAUAACCAGGUGGUUUUGCCACUGCACGUAGCGCCAGACACAGAAAUAGACGUACAUAUAGGGAAAGGAUACAUCUUGAGAAUGACGAGAAGACGUUAUAUCAGUUUCAUUUAUAAAAUUGCUAUGUCACAAAAACUUAAGACGCAAAAGCGAAUAAAGGUCUCGAUUUUUAUUAUAUGUAUCAAAUAGUUAAAUAUAUAAUUUUUAUAUAUAUAGAAAAAUCUGAAUUUUCAAAAGAUAUUCAACACAAAUCUUGAAAAAUGUACAAAAUCAUAGAAUUAAAAUUUCAAAUUGUACAAAUUUAUAAAAAUAUUCAAACUUAUAAAAAUCAAAAUUUACAAAUUUUCGAAAUAUGUAAAAUUCAAAAUCUACACUUUUCUAAAACUUACAAAUUCUAAAAUUCAUAAAAUUUCAAAGUAUUCAAUUUUAUAAAACAUUAAAUGUAAAAAUUCUUAAAUUUCAAAAUGUAUAAAUUCAUGAAACUACAAAUUCUAAAAAUAUUCAUAGCGUACACAUUUAUUAAAAAAAAAAAAAAUAAACAUUCACAAAACUCACAAUAUGCAAAUUUAUAAAACUUAAAAUUUAAAAUGUAUAGAUCAUACGAAAAUGUACAUUUUCACGAAUACACAAUUUCGAAAUAUUUAUAAAACUCUUCUAUUUAAAGCAUAUUUAACAGUUCAUCCUCCGACAAUUCGUCUAUCAUAUCAACCUCCAUAGAUUCAUGUUCUUUUGACAGUUUCUUGGGACACAGAACAAUGUCCAAGGGUGUUGUGUGGAUUCCUUCUUCCAAAACCCUUCUUUUACAAUAAAAGUAAGAAAAUCCGCACCUGGUCUGAUUGUAGGAAUAGACCCCGUUAUUCCUUACGCGGAACCCCUUAUUUUCCCCAGACGAGGGUUUUCCAGUUUGCAGCACUUCUUUAAAAAUAUUUAGGGGUUCCUUGACCAGGCGCUUGGAUACGCCCUUGGAACUAAAUUUGAAAUCCUGCUCAUCUUUGCUCACUAUAUAGGUCUUGGAGCAGAGACCUAUCAUCUCCUCGCCUUCGUAUUCCAUUUUGAAGAGACCGGGCACUCUUUUAUCAUAUUUGGUGUGUUUGGUGCAGCAUUCUCUGGGGAACCAGCAAUCUCCAACGGGAUUAUACUUGUCGUCACAUAGUCCCGUGAGUCCAUCCUGAUAUUCCGCCAACAUAUCGGGUUUGACAACAUCGUCGAGACUCGACGCCGAUAAGGCCAUAUAGGUGGAGUCCUGAAAUAAGAAAAUGUAUAAGCAAAACUGAAUUAGAAAUUUUUAUCUCCCUUACAGAUCGAUUUGAAAAGAUAUAGUUAGAAUGUUUAUAUCAACGAAUAUUUUAAUGAAAAUCAACCAACCGUGUCCAUCUCCAAAUAUUUGAAAUUGGAGCGGUCUACGUAUUUGUCCAGGAGGUUGUAGUAAAACUGCAGCAUCCGUAACUUGGCGUACUGCAGUACGAAGAAACCCAACUGCACGGGGAGGUCGAGCUUGAUGCGUUGUUUGGCGCCCUCGACCUCAUAAUACUGGUCCUCUUCGUCCAGGCACGUAGUCUGACGGAACUGCGGCUUAUUUACCUUGAAGCAUGCCUUGUUCUCUCCCUCCACGUAAUAGACAUUACGGUGUUUCGUCUUGUCCAGUAUUAACGAACCGUAACUAAAAUAAAAGUAAAUAAAUAUAAUAAUAUGUAAAUAAAGUUCUUUUAAAAUAACAUUUAAAGUAGACAAAUUCAUUAAAACUAACUAAAUAUACGAAUGAAUUACCAUGAAAGAUAACUAACAAACUAAAUAAAUAGAUACACUUACCCGUUAUUGCCGAUCAAUUUCAUCGUAUCGGCGAUGAUGGCCAUGUCUUUGCAAGCAUCCCCGGUUCGUCUGGCGUUGCUCACUUCCUUCACGAAGGAGUUGAAACAGGCCAUCUUCCGGUACUCGACUAUCUGGUAGAUUUUGCUCACUUUGAGUCCGUGGUCCAAGUACCAUUUAAGGAAGGGGAUGGCGAGGAGUAUUUGUUGGGCUUUGGUACCACCUACCAACAGGCGUCUUGGCUUAUCGCUCAGCUGGUACUCCCAGACGUGGGCUCGCAUGUGUUCCCCGAUAUCGUCAAACCCCACUUCCGUGUUGCAGAAGAUGGGGCACAUCUCCUCAAAAUAAUCCCGGGGAGUCAUAGAAAUGUGGGCGAACUCAGUACCCCACUGUUCAAAAACUAGGUCACCAGGUCAAAUCAAAGGAAAAGCUAGUUAACACUUUAGAGGCCACAUUUAUGACCAUAUCUUAGUGAAAUUUGGUCAUAAUGUUAAUCUUGAUGAUCUUUAGGUCAGUAGGUCAGGUGAGCGAUACAGGGCCGUCAUGGCCGUCUUGUUAUAGGAGGGAUAAGUAUGAAUACGUUGAAUGGGUUAAUCAUGCAUGACAGACAACAUCUACAUGCAAUUACCUGUGAAAUUACUUUUCCUGUGUACCAUUUAGACUAGCCAUCUUCAACAAAUUGGUGCCGCACUCUUUUCCCUACCAAGAUGUGCUUUUGACUAUCAUCAUCUGCUACAAUAGCCAGUGUCACAAGCUCUUUCAGGUUUGCAGUUAAUUCUUUAACGGUGAGAAAUCUUUGCCUUUUUAGAGAAAUUAAACUUUUGUUUUGUCACUUGGAAGUUGAUGCAGAACAUUUUUCCUGAACCAUAACUGUGCUUUAAUAGUAGGGAUGGGAACGAAUAUUCGAAAAUUAGUUGAAUAUUCGAAUAUGAAAAUCCAAUUCGAAUAUUCGUAAAUUAUUAUUUUUUUUUUCUUUUUUUUUUUUUCAAAAUAAAUAUUGAUUUUGGGCAAUAUAAGCAUGCUAAUUCUAUAGAAUAAAACCAUCUGUUCUGUCGUGUUUGUUCAUCAGAAGAUGUCCAAUUAACAAUGCAUAAUUGGCAGGGGCCACCGUUACGGAUUUACAGUUUGCAACAGGCGUAAAUGUGUCAGAUGCAUGUCAAAAUUGUCCAGUUAUCAAGAAAAUUGCAAUGCAUAAUUAGCUGGGGUCAUCGUUACGGAUUAACAGUUUGUAUAAGGCGUAAAUGUGAUACCUUUUAUCUUUUGUUCAUUUUUAUUGGUGCCUGUUUUAUGUAACAAGUUUUAGAACUUUUUAUGCCCCCGAAGGGAGGCAUAUUAGUUUUCUACUGUCCGUCCGUUCAUUCGUUCGUUCGUUAGUCACAACGUUAACUUUUUGCAUGAAGGCACUUUACUCGCGAACCACUGCACCCAGGACCUUCAUACUUCACGUGCUGAUAGUACUUAUUGAGUACACCACCCCUACUGACUUUGGGGUCACCAAGUCAAAGGUCAAGGUCACAGGGGCCAACGUUAUCUUUUUGCAUGAAGGCCUUUUACUUGCGAACCACUGCACCUAGGACCUUCAAACUUCACGUGCUGAUAGUACUUAUUGAGUACACCACCCCUACUGACUUUGGGUCACCAGGUCAAAGGCCAAGGUCACAGGGGCCAACGUUAUCAUUUUGCGUGAAGGCCUUUUACUUACGAACCACUGCACCUAGGACCUUCAAACUUCACGUGCUUAUAGUACUUACUAAGUACACCACCCCUACUGACGUUGGGGUCACCAGGUCAAAGGUCAAGGUCACAGGGGCCAACGUUAACUUUUUGUGUGAAGGCACUUUACUCGCGAACCACUGCACCCAGGACCUUCAAACUUCACAUGCUGAUAGUACUUAUAGAGUACACCACCCCUACUGACUGGGGUCACCAGGUCAAGGUCACAGGGGCCAACAUUAACUUUUUGCAUGAAGGCACUUUACUCGAGAACCACUACACCCAGGACCUUCGAACUUCACUUGCUGAUAGUACUUAUUGAGUACACCAUCCCUACUGACUUUGGUAUCACCAGGUCAAAGGUCAAGGUCACAGGAGCCAACGUUAACUUUUUGGAUGAAGGCACUUUACUCGCGAACCACUUCACCCAGGAUCUUCAAACUUCACAUGCUGAUAGUACUUAUUGAGUAAACCAACCCUAUUGACUUUGGGGUCACCAGGUCAAAGGUCAAGGUCACAGGGGCCAACGUUAACUUUUUGCAUGAAGGCACUUCACUCGCGAACCACUACACCCAGGACCUUCAAACUUUACAUGCUGAUAGUACUUUAUGAGUACAAAACCCCUACUGACUUUGGGGUCAACAGGUCAAAGGUCAAGGUGCUGCCGGGGCAUUUGUCACUAUUGGUGACAGCUCUUGUUUUAUUCGAAAAUAAUACCAAACUUGUAGAUAUUGUCUAUCUUUUUACAAUAUUUUGUACGACAUUUCAGACCGCCCGCAGGAUCGGUUUUCAUCCGAAUUUGGCCGUAUUCGAAAUAAAUUUUGAAGUAGUUUAUAGUAAAGCAAGAAAUAACAUAUGAUUGAUGCAUUAGAUCAUGUUGAAGGAGGUUUAAGUCUACCAUACUUGCUUUUUACUCGCUGAUUGAAAAUUUUCAAAAUGGCGGCAGUAAUACAACAGUGGGAGACAUGCUUAAAUGGGACAACCUGCUACUUUUAGAUAAAGUUGCGACGGUCUUAGUUAUAUUAAUCGAUUUGAUGUUUUUUGUAUCAUUUUUAAGGUAAAACACUGAAUUAGUUAAAUAUGUUCAUGAUUAUACUAACCAGGGUUCCCACGCUUCCAGGAAAACGGGAAAAGUCUGUGAAUUUCAAAAAUUGACUCCCGGCCGUGAAAAUACCGGGAAUUUAGCAAGAAAACGGUAAAGGUACGGGAAAAUACCGGGAAUUAUCCAAUUUUGCUAAGGGAAGUAAUUCAUGAUUCAAAAUGGCGGACGUGGAUGUAAUUUCAAUUUCCUUUUUCGAAAAUACCGAUGUUUUUGUGGUUGAUGGGCCUAUAUAGGUAGCUAUGCUUGAAUUUUUAAACAGUAAUUUUAGGCUUUCGGUCAUUUUUGUGUUGAUUUUGAAGAAGCCCUGUGAUUAGUGACACGCUUGGAUUCAGUGAUCAAACAACAACUUGACUGAAAAUAAUUUAAUUGCUAGAAGUGUAUCAAAGAUUAUAUAAAUAAUGUAAGUGGCACCAGAAAUGUAGUUAUUAUGAAGGAGUUGAUUAAUUCUUCACAACAUGCUAGACAAGUAAAUGAUUCAUAGUUUCCUUGAGAAACAAAACUUCAGGACAGUAAGGAAACUAAAUGAAAAAAAAAGAAAAUUUGCAGAGUGCAGACCCUGUAUUUAUUUAAUAAGUAGAAAUUUUUAAGCAAUAUCGGGCCAUCAUGGCCCUCUUGUUCUUAUAUUUUUACACUGAAUCUAGAAAAAUUGACGGGAACGUACAACCCGAUAUGUCGUACAGAGGUCCUUGAAAAUCGCAACAAGGUCCUGGAAAAGUCCUUAAAUUUCAUAGACGAAAAAGUGUGGGAACCCUGACUUAAAGAAUCGUGAAAUAAAACGUUAAUGUCCGCGGUUUAGGCCUUAUUACGUACGAUGAUUCACGCUUUAUAUAAAGGAGUACAGUGUCUAUAUGCCAAUCACUUAAUAAGAAUUUAAAGUGUCAAUUAAAACAGACCGAAUAUUUGAAUAUAUUCGAAUAUGGCAAACCGAAUAUUCGAAUAUUGAUUUCAGUAUUCGUUCCCAUCCCUAUUUAAUAGCUUUAGUUUUAUCACUGAAUAUCUUGUAUGACAACAGCAUAUUAUCCACCUCUGAUUCACCUUGCCAUAAACCAAAAUGAAUGAUGUCCUUUUUGUAUUUUCUUGCUGUCUUAGCUUUACUUUCUUGCAGUUUCUUUUUAAUGAAUUUGGUCUUACACAGCAAUUCUCUUUGCUCUUCAAUGGCGUUCAACCUGCGUUUAUAAUUCUGGCACAUAUUUUUCAUUGAUUUUGAAGCCUUCUUUAUCAACUCUUGUUUUUCGUUUUCAUUUGUGGAGUUUCACCAGUCAGUUGUUUAUUAUUUAAGAACAUGAUGCAAGCUUCUGCAGCAAGAGUACUCAUUUUGGGUUUUGUCCACAACAGAUGAUCUAACUGUCCAAGGAAUGCUUUUGGCAUAACAAGAUGUUUUAGUAGCAUUUUUAGCUCACCUGAGCCAAAGGCUCAUGGUGAGCUAUUGUGAACACUCAAUGUCCGUCGUGCGUAGUCUGUCCGUCAACAUUUCCUAAAAAAAAUUUUCUUCUUGAAAACCACUGGGCAGAAUUACACCAAACUUCACAGGAAUGAUCCUUGGGUGGCCCCCUUUCAAAAUUGUUCAAAGAAUUGAAUUCCAUGCAGAACUCUGGUUGCCAUGGCAACCGAAAGGAAAACUUCAAAAAUCUUCUUGUCCAAAACCACAGGGCCUAGGGCUUUGAUAUCUGGUGUGUAGCAUCAUCUAGUGGUCCUCUACCAAAAUUGUUCAAAUUAUCCCCUAGGGUCAAAUAUGGCCCCGCCCCGGGAGUCACAUGGUUUAUAUAGACUUAUAUAAGGAAAACUUUGAAAAUCUUCUUGUACAAAACCACAUGGCCUAGGGCUUUGAUAUUUGGUGUGUAGCAUCAUCUAGUGGUCCUCAACCAAGAAUGUUAAAAUUAUUCCCCUAGGGUCAAAUAUGGCCCCGCCCCGGGGGUCACAUAGUUUAUAUAGAGUUAUAUAGGGAAAACUUUGCAAAUCUUCUUGUACAAAACUACAUGGCCUAGGGCUUUGAUAUUUGGUAUCUAGCAUCAUCUAGUGGUCCUCUACCAAGAUUAUUCAAAUUAAUCCCCUAGGGUCAAAUAUGGCCCCGCCCCGGGGGUCACAUGGUUUAUAUAGUGUUAUAUAGGGAAAACUUUGAAAAUCUUCUUGUACAAAACCACAUGGCCUAGGGCUUUUAUAUUUGGUAUGUAGCAUCAUCUAGUGGUCCUUUACCAAGAUUGUUCAAAUUAUCCCCCUAGGGUCAAAUAUGGCCCCGCUCCGGGGGUCACACGGUUUAUAUAGAGUUAUAUAGGGAAAACUUUGAAAAACUUCUUGUACAAAAUCACAUGGCCUAGGGCUUUGAUAUUUGGUAUGUAGCAUCAUCUAGUGGUCCUCUACCAAGAUUGUUUAAAUUAUCCCCCUAGGGUCAAAUAUGGCCCUGCCCUGGGGUCACUUAGUUAUUAUGUGAGUUAUAUAGGAAAAAUACUUAAAAAAUCAUCUGAUUCUAUUUCCAAGACUAUUUAAUUAUAAUUACCUGAUGACCCCAAGUAAUAUGGUGUCACUUAAUUGUGACCUUGACCUACUGACCUACUUUCUUGUUUUUUAAGAUACAGCCUUGAAAUUUUGAUGACUUACACAGUUUUGCACACAAAUCGUAAAACUGAAUUUCAUUGACCAUGAAUGUGACCUACUGACUUUCUUAAUAUUUUAUCAUCAGUUUGACAUUAGAAACAUGUAGCUCAUAUUACUCAGGUGAGCGAUCCAGGGUCAUCAUGACCCUCUUGUUUGUUAAGCUGCAGUGCUGAUUCAACUGUUUAAUCAGCACUGCAGCUUAUCAAUAAAUCUAUAGUCUGUAAAUUUCUCUAGCCUGAUAAAUCUAAAUUAAACUUAAAGAAAAGUUCACUACGACCAUCUAUAAUUGCUUUUAAUGGUUGACAUGUAAUUAAAUCAAAACACUUUGAAUUAAUGACCUUAUAAACUGACCAAAACAAAAUGCUGUUAAUAUUGUAGUGAUUUUUAAUACAAACAAGAUGAUUUCAAAUAAAGUCACUUCACCCAUUAUCUUGUUGUACCCACCGACAACAAAGUUGUAAGGGGGAGUAUACUGGUUUCAGGUUGUCUGUCUGUCUGUCCGUAGACGCAAUCUUGUGCGCACCAUCUUGUGCGCACCAUCACUCCUUAUCUCCUUGACAGAAUUUAAUGAAACUUCACACAAGUGAUCAGUACCAACAGUAGUUGUGCAUGGGGCAUGUUAGGUUCUUUUAGAAAAAAAAUUUGCAGAGUUAUGGGACUUUGUCUUUUUGUUGCUAUACUAUAUACAUAGACACAAUCUUGUGCGCACCAUCUCUCCUCAUCCCCUUGACACAAUUUAAUGAAACUUCACACAAGUGAUCAGUAACAACAGUAGUUGUGCAUGGGGCAUGUUAGGUUCUUUCAGAAAAAAAAUUUGCAGAGUUAUGGGACUUUGUUUUUUUUGUUACUAUACUAUAUACAUAGAUACAAUCUUGUGCGCACCAUCUCUCCUCAUCCCCUUGACACAAUUUAAUGAAACUUCACAACAGUGAUCAGUAACAACAGUAGUUGUGCAUGGGGCAGGUUAGGUUCUUUCAGCGACAAAAUUUGCAGAGUUAUGGGACUUUGUUUCUUGUUAACAUACUAUGUACAUACAGUCUGCAUAUGCAAUCUUGUGCAUGCCUAAUCUACCAAACCCUUGCACACAAUUUAAUGAAACUUCACACAAGUGAUCAGUACCAACCCUAGUUGUGCAUGGUGCAUGUUACAUUCUUUAAGAUAAAUAUUCUGCAUAGUUAUGGGACUUUGUUUUUUGUUACUAUACUGUAUACAUACAGUCUAUAUACAUACAGUCCACAUAAUUAUGCAAUCUUGUGUGCGUCAAAUUGCAAUGUACUGUGUCAGUGCAUGCAGGGGGUACAUUCAUCACCUUUAGUGAUAGCUCUAGUUUUCUUUAUUUUUUGAAAAAUAAAAUGGUCUUUCUUUAAAAUUGAAGAUUGGUCAUAUUAUGACGUUAGAACAUGGUAUCUUUCUGCUAUACCAUUAAUCAAGAAAGAAGUCCCUUUCACAUAUCAGAAAUGUAAUAUUUAUAACUGCCUUGGUAGCCUAGUGGUAGAGCGUCCGCUUCGAAUGCGGGAGGUCGUGGGUUCGAACCCUGGCCGUGUCAUACCAAAGACGUAAAAAAUGGUUCUAGUAGCUUCCUCGCUUGGCGCUUAGCAUUAGGAGGGUAGUGCUAGGACUGGUCAGCCAGGUGUCGGUAUAAUGUGACUGGGUGGGGUAUCAUGUAAUGUGUCUACAGCGUGAUAUUCCAGUGAGGCAGCACUAUAAAGUUGGGCAUUGUGCUCACUGCUACAAGUAGACACCGUCAUUUAUAUGACUGAAAAAUUGUUGAAAAAGACGUUAAACCCAAACCACAAACACACACACACACACACGUAAUAUUUAUAUAACAUACAGUUUAACUGAAAAAAGUAUUUCAAUAUAGAAUCUACUAAAGAUAUACCUUUUCAAAGAUGUUAUUUUUCUUGCUUAGGUUAUCAGACUUUUGCCUGAAAGCUUUUGUGGUUGAUAACACUAACUAUGCCAUUGAAGUCCGUCUCUGCUGCACUCGUUACAUCUUUGUAACCAUAAGCGACAUGAAACAUUUAGCCUUCCCAUGGAUUACUGCACCACUGGCUGGCGUCAGUGUUUUGGUAAGUUGGACCGUAGUAACGAUGUGCAUUCUGGAUCUCCAUUUUAAGAUUGUCGCAGAUCUUAUUUGGGCAACCAGCAGGGUAGUAUCUUGUGGCAGCAUUUCUGUGAAAACUACAUUUAGAUCAUGCAAGGGUAAGGCAGUGGUUCCAAUUCUUUUCAUACACAGAUCGCUCCAGAACCACAUGGGGCAAGUUGGUUGUAUUUUGGUAUACGUUGAUGACAGUUAAUUAAUAUAUGUUAUGCUCACAUGGUCUCCUGGCCUGGCUUCGGUGUCAGCUGCAGACCUCGCUCUUGCUGUGUGAUCCUCCACAGUUACUAUUUUAAUGGUAACUUCUUCUCCCCUUACCAUCACUUGUUGGGACUCAUCUUCCUGCAAUGCAGUAAAACAUAUCAGUAUGCACACAGUAGUCCAUGUGUUCUGCAAUUCACGACUGCAGGUCUUAGCUCCAAUGGCCUUUUAUCACUGACAGGUUGCAGGGACUGCAAGGUAAUAAUUCUGCUGUCUUUAUAGCCAGUAUAUAACAGAUAGUGAAUACAAAUUCUGAAUUUUCUUUUGGUCAGAAUUAUAUAGAAUAUGGUCGAGUUAUGGACAAUUUUGUAAUGUCAAUUUUAAUAUAUAAGAAAGGAAAUGUUCAAGGACACAUUCUUUAGAUUUUGAAAAUUUAAUUGCAUAUCAAGGAGAUAUAUAGUGGAAACAAAAUGGAAGGAAGGCUCAUCAUACCUUUCAUUUUUAGCUGUGACCUUAACCUUGAGUCAGAAUGGCUGAUGCGUGUUCUGCACAUGUCUUGACGAGGUGAUCAUCAUGUCUCCCCCCCACCCCUCUGGGGGAGACAUAUUGUUUUUGCCCUGUCCGUAUGUCACACUUCAUUUCCGAGCAAUAACUGAAGAACCAUUUGACCUAGAACCUUUAAACUUCAUAGGGUUGUAGGGCUGCUGGAGUAGACGACCCCUAUUGUUUUUGGGGUCACUCCGUCAAAGUCAAGGUCACAGGGGCCUGAACAUUGAAAACCAUUUCCGAUCAAUAACUAGAGAACCACUUGACCCAGAAUGUUGAAACUUCAUAGGAUGAUUGGUCAUGAAGAGUAGAUGACCCCAAUUGAUUUUGGGGUCACUGCGACAAAGGUCAAGGUCACAGGGGCUUGAACAUUGAAAACCAUUUCCGAUCAAUAACUAGAGAACCACUUGACCCAGAAUGUUGAAACUUUAUAGGAUAAUUGAUCAUGAAGAGUAGAUGACCCCUAUUGAUUUUGGGAUCACUCUGUCAAAGGUCAAGGUUACAUGGGCCUGAACAUUGAAAACCAUUUCCGAUCAAUAACUAGUGAUAAUAAGGCCUGUUUUGAAUUGAGUGUGCUCAAAUUCUUGAUGAAGGACAUGAAAUCUGAAUGUGUCACUUCAGGGACACUUCUUGAUUUUUUUUUACGGUACAGUCAAACCUGUCUGAAAUGACCACUCUUGGGAGAGCGAAAAUGUGAUCUUUAUUGGGAGGGGGUCUUUAUUGACAGGUUAAAAUACGCUGUAAAUGUUAAAAUGGAAAAGAAAGUGUGUGUUCUUUAAAGUCAGGUGGUCUCUGUUCAGAGGUGGUCUUUAACACAGUUUUGACUUUAUUUGUUACAUUUACAGUUAUGGCAGGGCAUUGAAUGUAUUUAUUGAUCAUGCGGCUUCUUGGCUCCUAUAAGGUGUAUCAUACUUAGACUUAUAAUCCGACAGUAACAACCAUUUGUCUCUAUUACAGUGAUUUAGUCUCUAUCUGCUUAUAUCAAGAAAAUGAGUGCUAGGACAUGACUACAAGCCUUCUGGAGUCCUGCCAUACAUUCUGCAAUCAUGCUGCAAAUAACAGGUAAACAUGCUGCGAAUACUUGAAUACAAUGCAUGAACAAAGUGUUUGAGGAAUGUUUGUUUGAUCAUUUUCACUGUUUUCAUUAUUAGCUCACCUGAGCCAAAGGCUCAGGGUGAGCUAUUGUGAUCACUCAUCGUCUGGCAUCCGUCGUCCGUCCGUAAACUUUUACUUUAAACGACAUCUCCUCAUAAACCGCUAGGCCAAUUUCAUCCAAACUUCACAGGAAUGUUCCUUGAGCUCAAAAAAUUGUUCAAAGAAUUGAAUCCCAUGCAGAACUCUGGUUGCCAUGGCAACUGAAAGGAAAAAACUUUAAAAAUCUUCUUCUCAAAAACCAGAAGCCCUAGAGCUUAGAUAUUUGGCGUGAAGUAUUCCCUUGUGGACCUCUACCAAAUUUGUUCAUAUCAUGACUCCGGGGUCAAAAUUGACUCCGCCUGAGUGCCCGAGGGGUCAUAUGAUUUUACAUAGGAAAAUCUUUAAAAAUCUUCUUCUCAAAAACCAGAAGCCCUAGAGCUUAGAUAUUUGACAUGUAGCAUUGCCUAGUGGACCUCUACUAAAGUUGUUCAAAUCAUGACCAUGGGGUCAAAAUUGACUACACCCCAGGGGUCACUUGAUUUUACAUAGAUUUCUAUAGGAAAAUCUUCAAAA